AUGGGGACCCAGACUGUUCAGACCAUCACUGUGGGCCUGCAGACUGAAGCCCUGCGUGGCAGGGGUGUCACCAGCAGCCCCCACAAGUGUCUCACGCCAAAGGCUGGGGGUGGUGCUACACCCAUGUCUCUCCUUCCCGAAGACUUAGGAGCUGACAGGGGGCCCCUCCAUCAAGAAGGUGCAGGCCAAGUUUGAACGCACAUGCUGCUCCCCCAAGUACGUUUCUCCCAAGCUGCAGAGGGAGCCCCUCCCCAAAGCUGACCAGCCAAAUAACAGGACGUCACCAGGGACAGCCCAGAAAGGGUACAGUGAGUCAGCCUGGGCCCGCUCCACCACCACCAGGGAGAGCCCCGUGCACACCACUAUCAAUGACGGCCUCUCCAGCCUCUUCAACAUCAUGGACCACGGCCCUGUGGUGCAGGACCCCUUCCAGAAGGGGAUGCGGGCCGGCAGUCGGUCUUACUCAGCAGAACACCUACCAGAGCUGGGCCCAGGCCAGGAAAAGGCACCAAUUCCCGAGAAAGGUCGCCUAGCCCCAUUGGCGUGGGCUCAGAGAUGUGCAGGGAGGAAGGGGGAGAGGGCACGCCAGCGAGGCAGGACUUACCCGCUCCCCGUGGCUACACACUGACUGAGAACGUGGCCCGGAUCCUCAACAGGAAACUGCUGGAGUAUGCCGUGAAGGAGGAGAGGAGGCAGGCUGCCCACGGGCCUCCGGGGCCCCACAGCGACAGCCACUCGCUGAGGGACACAGCCGAGCCAGGGGCCAUGGAGGAACUACCUUGUUCUGCACUA
Molecule: long non-coding RNA, 792 nt
Filed under: Homo sapiens (human)
Lineage: Eukaryota; Metazoa; Chordata; Mammalia; Primates; Hominidae
Description: non-protein coding lnc-BORA-19:1
Source: RNAcentral